Long non-coding RNA from Brienomyrus brachyistius, 1037 nucleotides. RefSeq lists it as uncharacterized. The record is from RefSeq and is a predicted model, not a curated record. The transcript is spliced from 3 exons. Lineage: Eukaryota; Metazoa; Chordata; Actinopteri; Osteoglossiformes; Mormyridae.
CUCCAGUGCGGGAGAACCGGAGCCGGAGCGCGGGGCUGAGCGCUGUGACGCGCUGAACUUGAGUUCUUGCCGCAAGGCUUUCCGGAGGGCACGGCGUACAGACGAAGUAUUUCUGAGUGGAUGACCUCGGGAAUACACCUCGGAGACCUCGACGCAGUCGUCGGUACACAUCUGGGAGCCGGACCCAAGAGUGCAGGCUGUCAGAGGGAGCUGCUUCAAAGGAAAACAGGACAGUGCGGUGAAUAUGGCCGAUUUGACACCAACACUGAGCUGACUCUGGAACUAAAUGGUACCGUAUCAGAUUUCGUAAGUUCAGAUUUAGCGAGGGCGCAAGAGGACUUCAGCUGGAGGUGACGGUUACAACGAAAAUCUGAUACACUGCAUUUCUUAAAUAUUUUUAAGAAAAGGAAUCCUUGAAAAAUCAGAGGAUCCAAUAAUAUUAUUAGACAUAGCAGUACUCCUAUAUGAUAUUGAUACUGAAUGUGGCCUUGUGUUAGCUUAUUUGUUCAAAUGGAUGAAAAAGGAAAAGAAAAAAAAGCUAAAUUCUCAAAAAUGCAAAAGUACAGAUGCUACAUGUAGUAAUUGUUCCUUCAAGCUGGUUAUAUUUUUAUUUAUAUUUUUGAAUCUAUUAUUAAACCUUUUACCGUUUCCUGGGACAGUCUGGUAUGGUCUUUGUGCCACAUGCCGGUUUCAGUAGGUGAGACAGUUUGACCGGCGUGGUAUUAGAUGUGCAACAGUUUCCCUUGUCGGACGAGUACAAUGAGCAGGUACAAAGGGAGACCCGCAUCAGUAUUGGUUGUUAUGAUACUUUUUACAGAAAAUAUGCCCUUAUGCCCUUUAUAAUCGCUCGAUCAGAUUAAAAUAGUGAUAACAGAGAAAUAAAACAGGACGUCUAUGGCGCUGAAGUGAAAGCAGGAGGAUAAUAUUUUUUCCAGAACUGCUCAUUUUCAGGAAGGUGCAUUAAAGGGAAACUGAUGCAGGAUUCUAUGUAGACUUUUAUGCACAGAAGCAUUUAGUGCCCACAUCAUUUUAAAGAA